GGAGGGUAUAGCUCAGUGGUAGAGUGCAUGCUAAGCAUUCAUGAGGUCCUGGGUUCAAUCCCCAGUACCUCCU
Molecule: transfer RNA, 73 nt
Filed under: Vicugna pacos (alpaca)
Lineage: Eukaryota; Metazoa; Chordata; Mammalia; Artiodactyla; Camelidae
Description: tRNA-Und (NNN) (tRNA-Und-NNN-18-1)
Rfam family: tRNA
About the family: Transfer RNA (tRNA) molecules are approximately 80 nucleotides in length. Their secondary structure includes four short double-helical elements and three loops (D, anti-codon, and T loops).
Source: RNAcentral